Molecule: non-coding RNA, 100 nt
Organism: Marasmius sp. AFHP31
Lineage: Eukaryota; Fungi; Basidiomycota; Agaricomycetes; Agaricales; Marasmiaceae
Source: the annotation of a GenBank genome assembly
GGUUCGAUGGCGUAGUUGGUUAUCGCAUCUGUCUAACAUCAACGGGCCCAAACGUCAAGAGUUACACAGAAGGUCCCCAGUUCGAGCCUGGGUCGAAUCA